This 84-nucleotide transfer RNA is filed under the name Pseudomonadota bacterium. RNAcentral describes it as "Proteobacteria bacterium (marine metagenome) tRNA-Leu". It matches the Rfam family "tRNA". From Rfam's summary of the family: Transfer RNA (tRNA) molecules are approximately 80 nucleotides in length. Lineage: Bacteria; Pseudomonadati; Pseudomonadota. The record is from RNAcentral. RNAcentral also lists the same sequence under 1 other name.
GCCGGAGUGGUGAAACUGGUAGACGCGCCGGACUCAAAAUCCGGUGGGGGAAACCUCGUGUCGGUUCGAGUCCGACCUCCGGCA